Carassius auratus (goldfish) is the source of this 1126-nucleotide long non-coding RNA. RefSeq lists it as uncharacterized. The record is from RefSeq and is a predicted model, not a curated record. NCBI's taxonomy places the organism in Eukaryota, Metazoa, Chordata, Actinopteri, Cypriniformes, Cyprinidae. The transcript has 4 exons.
UCAAGUAUUUAAAAGAGUCUAAAAAGUUAUUCUAAUGCUACACAGAAUUAAGUGUAUUCUGAUUGAGGCCUGUAGGUGGCGCAUUGCACUAGAGUGAUGAGGAAUGACGUUAGGGUCAAAAGGGCAAAGUCAUUAAAAGAAAGCGCCAAAACGCUGCAGACACUAAUGUGUGUUUUCUCAUUUUAUACAGGUUAGCAGUCUGCAAUCUGUCCUCGGAGAACAACCCAGUAUCAGCACCAGCAAAACAUUCAAACAAGCUCUUCAACUCUCGAGUCUAAACACCGCAGAUGAUGCCACAGUUGUGCACACAAACCCUGUAGUGAAAAGUGUGGUGAAUAAGAAACCUUCAAAAGAGGGACAUCCCUGGUCCUCCUGUGUUGGACAUAAUUAUUUAAAUUAGGCCUGUGAACGGCCCUGACUAGAAAUGAAACUAUGUGUAUUAUUAUUAUAAUGCAUCCUGACAGCAGCACUGACAGAAGAACCUAAAACAAGUUAAUUUCACCCUUUUAGUCAAAGCUCGGUGCGUCAGUUAAAACCUCUGAAAGUAACCCAGCAGCGGUGGUUUUAGAAAAGCAGCGGAUACUUCCUUUCAGCUCAUCACAAGGAGUAAAUGAGAUGAGGACAUGGAAAAACACACGCAGAAAGAUGCUGGAGCAGAAACCACAGAGGAGCAAAGAACAAGAGCAAAGAGAGAAACAGAGGACAGAAAUGAAACCCAAACCAGUGGAGAGAAAAACCGACAGAAGCUUGUUAGAUGUGACAGUAUGGAGGGAAGAAGACCAAACUUGUCAGAUGAUCCAGAGGAGCCUGUAAAGAUUGAUUCUGAUGUUCUCAAGAGCAGAACAAUCUGAAACAGAUUAGUGAACGGUUCUCUCUUGUUGACUGAUAACUGUGUUUUACUGCUCUGAUGCUGAUUCACUUCUGGAUCACACAGAGUUUUGUGUUUUAAAACAAAAUAGUUUGUUUCGUAUUGCACUGCCUUCCAUGUAUAAUGUAUAUAUUUGUAUUACUGUAUAUUUUGGUAUAUUUCUGUAUAAAACACUGUACAUCACAUAUGCUGAAAUACUGGAUCACAGAUAUUAUGACAUCUCCAGAUAAAUAAAGAAAGAAAAGUGCAGUAAAAUAC